AAAAUUAAGCCUAUUUCACUUUAAAAAAAAAAAUCCAAAUCGAUGAAAUCAACUUUCCCCCAAAACUCUUUGCUUCUCCCUCAAAACCAAAAUCAAACUUUUUCUGCUCUCAGUUUCAAAAUCAAAAUUGAAGAAUUACUCAUAAAUUUCAUCGAAUUUUCGUUAAUUUGAAUCAAAAUCGAAGAAUCGUUCUUAGUCUCAACAGUUUCAGCUUCGAAGAAUGAUCUCAGUUCGUAGGAUAUAAGGGAUUUGCGAAGGAUCGUGAAGAAUUUGUGAAUGAUUCGCGAGGGAAUGUGAAACUUAGAGAAUCUGAAAUUUCAGAGACAGUUAAGGGGUUUCUUGAUUUAAGACUAAGGCCAUGGCUCAGAAACUUCUUAAUGAGAUAUUUAGCUACAAUCCCAAGUUUGAUUGUAGCUCUCAUAGGUGGCUCACCUGGAGCCGGAAAGUUAAUCAUCAUUGCCUCGAUGAUCUUAUCCUAUGAGCUCCCAUUUGCUUUAGUCCCACUUCUCAAUUUCACAAGCAGCAAAACGAAAAUGGGCUCACACGCCAAUUCACUCCUGAUUUCAUCUGUGACUUGGCUUAUUGGUGGACUUAUUAAGGGUAUCAACAUAUAUUAUCUAGUAAGCAGUUUCAUCAAUCUGCUUCUCCAUGGUCACAUGAAGCUUGUAGCCAUUGUCCUCUUAGGUGAAGACACAAAGUUUAACAUGAAGCUUCAUCAAUCAUCUAGCAGCAAUAGUGACCAGGAUAGUGGCAUUUCAAAGACUGGACUUUGAGAUAUCACUUGAAAAUGGUAUGUUCGUCUAUAUCUUAUCUCUAAGUCUGUCAAUUAGUGUUGGAAUAUGUUUAGUAUGUUUUUAGGUCAUUAAGGCUAAGUUGUUGCUCACAGAAUUUUUCAAAGUAACUUACUCAGAAGAAAUUGAAACCAUAUUGUCAUUUUACUUAGAAGAAACUGAAACCAUAUUGUCAUUUUACUUAGAAGAAACCAAAACCAAACUGAAACCAUAUUGUCUAUACGUUCUGCAUAUUUCAGUAAUUGAAAAUAUGUUGUUGGCUAUAUUAGUUUGUUGACUGAUUUCGGUGCAGGUUUACCUCUCAAUCAGAAGAAUUGGUGCUUGUGGGCAUUUCAGUUUUUUUGUUUAGAAGAGUUAUACUUGUUCGUUGACAUUUAUAGUUUCAAAACAGUAUAUUAUAGUUUCAAUGACAUUUGAAUUUGGAUCUCGUUUGUAAAAACAGGUUCCUUUUAUUAAUUGGAAAUUUUAAUCGAGUUAUCAUUUAAAUCUUUUUAAUUGGAGGAUUGUAUGUAUUAUAUAUAUAUAUAUAAUAUUUAGCGUUAAUGGAGUAUACGUCAGUUUAUUACUGACCCAAACAUAUUUGUAAAAUUACGUCGGUUUAUUAGUGACCCAAACAUUAAGACGUUAAAUUACACGUCAUUUUUCAAAGCGACGUUAAGAUAAUUAACGUCAUCCCUUGUUACGACGGUUUUGUAAAUGACGCUAUAUAAUUUACGUCGGUUUAUUACCGAUGUUAAAUUCCAUUAUAACCGACGUAAGAAGUCGUCUUUUUUGUAGUGCACUACGAAGGCGUGGAUGAAUCUAUAUAGUAACCUAUAUAUUAUAAUUGAAAUGAAUAAUCAAUUAUAAAGUAAUGAUUAUUCAUUUUAAACCUAUAAACAAAGUAAUGUUUAUUAAUCAAUUGCUAUAUAGGUUUAUAAUUGAUUAAUCGAUCAAAAAAUAGCGAUAAUCGCCACUUUCUUUGCCCUAACAAUAACGAUAAUAGGUUUAUGAAGAACUUUGCCCUAACAAUGUCGCUUGCAGAGAUUCGCGAAAGAGCCUUAGCAGGUAAAUUUCUGGCAUGUAAAUCGUGAAUCCAAAUAUUAUCUUUGAUUCUUGUGUUUUUUCAUGGAUGAUCUAGGUAUAAAGUUGCUUCGAGACAUAGAUUACAGGUUUAGCAACUACAUGAGCGAUUUGUUUGGGAAAGAUAGGGCAAUUAAUCUCUGACUCUUUACGGUUUAUAUCAACUCGAGAGUAACUAUCUGACCUUGUUUUCCUAGGAUCCACAUUCAUAAUUGGAGGGAACUUGCUUUGUGUAUUUUGCCGUACCACCACUCUGAAAUCUUCGGUCAAUUAGUGAAGCUCUUCGCCGCGGAUUACACAUCUACGAACUGGAGUUUUCUUGAUAAUGUGAGGUUUUCUGGUAAACCACUUUCUAAACAUGUCAUCAUACGGCAAUGCUCUAGAGACAUGGAGUUUUUGAAGGAGUUGUGUGACUAUGUAAGUGAUUUCAACAUAUUUUUCUCCCCCGGUUUUUGAAUGGCCAAGAGGUAUCCGAUGUACUAGUGGCGUCGGUUCAAACAUUUCUGCUGGAUACUGAAGCUCAUUCAAAGGAAGAGGAUGCAAAGCUAUCCGUGCUUUGUCAUAUGAUGGAUUUUCUAGGCUUUGGAGUUGUAACUACAGCAGAAAGCUUUAAGGCACAAAUAGCUGGGCUUCUCGGUGGGAUCCUCUUCUUGUGACAUGAGACAGAAGAGGGAAUUGAAUCUGGAUGAUAUCAUUCUUGAUAUUCUUGGGAUGAUGUGUGAUCAAUUUUCCUCUGAAGAACAAUCUGCCCUAACAAUGUCGACUGUUCUCAUCGACUCGCGUUUCAUGAGCUUGGAUAUUGCAGAGAUUUGCGAGAGAGGCUUAGCAGUGAAGUUUCAAAUAUUAAUAUUCUCAAUCUAUUUUAACGUUUGAUGAUGAGAAUUUGUUGGAUUGUACAAAUUUUGCAUCAUAUUAAAAAAAAUAU
Molecule: long non-coding RNA, 2778 nt
Organism: Eutrema salsugineum
Lineage: Eukaryota; Viridiplantae; Streptophyta; Magnoliopsida; Brassicales; Brassicaceae
Exons: 6
Source: RefSeq, a predicted model, not a curated record